GCCCCUGUAGCUCAAAGGACAGAGUGUAGGUUUGCGGAACCUGAGAUCGAGGUUCGAUUCCUCGCAGGGGCA
Molecule: transfer RNA, 72 nt
Filed under: bacterium
Lineage: Bacteria
Also listed under: 1 other name
Description: tRNA-Arg
Rfam family: tRNA
About the family: Transfer RNA (tRNA) molecules are approximately 80 nucleotides in length.
Source: RNAcentral